GGGAAUGUGGCUCAGUGGUAGAGUGCUUGCCUUGCAUGCAUAUGGCCCUGAGUUUGAUUUCUCUGUACCA
RNAcentral lists this transfer RNA (70 nucleotides) under Dipodomys ordii (Ord's kangaroo rat). It matches the Rfam family "tRNA". Rfam says of the family: Transfer RNA (tRNA) molecules are approximately 80 nucleotides in length. Their secondary structure includes four short double-helical elements and three loops (D, anti-codon, and T loops). Lineage: Eukaryota; Metazoa; Chordata; Mammalia; Rodentia; Heteromyidae. The record is from Rfam by way of RNAcentral.